This 68-nucleotide transfer RNA is filed under the name Xenocephalus elongatus (bulldog stargazer). Its description in RNAcentral is "tRNA-His". It matches the Rfam family "tRNA". From Rfam's summary of the family: Transfer RNA (tRNA) molecules are approximately 80 nucleotides in length. Lineage: Eukaryota; Metazoa; Chordata; Actinopteri; Uranoscopiformes; Uranoscopidae. The record is from RNAcentral.
GUAGACAUAGUUUAAUAAAACAUUAGAUUGUGAUUCUGAAAUUAUAAGUUAAAAUCCUGUUGUCCACC